GGUUGAUCCUGCCAGUAGUCAUACGCUUAACUCAAAGAUUAAGCCAUGCAUGUCUCAGUACAGCCUCGAAAAAGUGAAACCGCAAACAGCUCAUUAAAUCAGUUACAACUUCCUUGCUCUCGAGUUUCUUAAAUGGAUAACUGUGGUAAAUCUAGAGCUAAUACAUGCAAACUUGUCUCGCAGCAAUGCGAGUCGCAUCUUAUUAGACCCAGAUCAUAGGGCGCGCAAGCGUCUGUUACAUCAGAGGUGACUCUAGAUAAUAUUCAGCUAUCAUAUAAGUCCUCUUACGAGC
RNAcentral lists this ribosomal RNA (292 nucleotides) under uncultured eukaryote. Its description in RNAcentral is "partial 18S ribosomal RNA". It matches the Rfam family "Eukaryotic small subunit ribosomal RNA", at positions 6 to 292 of the family's 1831-position model. The record is from RNAcentral.